GCCGGGUGCGGUGGCCCAUGCCUGUAAUCCUAGAAACUCAGGAGGCUGAGACGGGAGGAUUGCAAGUUUGAGGCCAGCCUUGGCAACUUAGCAAGACUCUGUAUUAA
Molecule: small RNA, 107 nt
Filed under: Marmota monax (woodchuck)
Lineage: Eukaryota; Metazoa; Chordata; Mammalia; Rodentia; Sciuridae
Source: RNAcentral